CGGCUACUUCACGUUUAAACACCGGUUCCCGUACGAUCACCAAAGUUAAGCAAUGUCAAGCCUAGUCAGUACCUAGAUGAGUGACCGCUUGGGAAUACCAGAUGAU
Molecule: ribosomal RNA, 106 nt
Filed under: Acanthosepion pharaonis
Lineage: Eukaryota; Metazoa; Mollusca; Cephalopoda; Sepiida; Sepiidae
Source: RNAcentral